GCCUCUGUUCGAGUCUUCGCGAGUUGUGCCCCGCGGUCGCCGCCUCGUGCUUCGCGCCGCCGCCUUCGCCGCCUCAGCUCUGCCCACGCGCGUCGGCGGCCGACCGGCUCCGUUCCUCGCGCUCCUCUCCUCCUGCAGCCCUGCCCACACGCGCCGCUGCGCCAGCUGGAAGGAAGCACGCAGGUUGCAGGCAGCCACCGCCGGCCGGAUGGAGGCUGCCAAGCAAGCGCCUCUCAGGUGUUUAUCUAAUUAUCUUCGAACCUCUCUCUAAUCUCCAACGAUUUGUAGUUUCAAGUUUCUAUUCAAUAUAUUAAUUGACAUUUUGGAAGUGCAAUUUCAGACUAAGAGUCCUAGACUUGCAAUUGGUAAUGCGAAUUGCAAAAUGAAGAGGAGCGGAACUUUAGCACCUUAUUUCCCUCGUGUUC
RNAcentral lists this long non-coding RNA (425 nucleotides) under Setaria italica (foxtail millet). RNAcentral's name for it is "long non-coding RNA (SITA_LNC006395)". Lineage: Eukaryota; Viridiplantae; Streptophyta; Magnoliopsida; Poales; Poaceae. The record is from RNAcentral.